GCAAGGUCAAGUGACUCAGCAGGCUGCCCACUAGGAAGCAGAGGAGCUGGGAUUCCUGCCGGGAGCAGCUGUUUGCCAAGUCUCCUGCCUUCCCUGGCACCUCCGGAUGGAGCAGGCCCGCGUCCUCACAGAGCCUGAAGGGUGCCUGUGGAGCAGCCUGGUGGGUGAGAGUCUGGCUGGGCUCAAAUCCUGGCUUUGCUGCUGACCAGCUGUGUGACCUUGGGCAAGUGUCUCAACCUCUCUGAGCCCACUUUCCUCACAGGUGGUGAGUCCUCAGCAAGGCUCACUGAAUGAUUUCUGCAUUCUCGGCACCCAGUGCAAGGCCUCGUUUCCAGUGGACAUCAUUCGAGGUCUGUCGAGAACACCCCAGCUGUGUUGGUUGAUGUGCACCUGCAGGCCUCCUUGCCUGGGUGACAACCUCAACAUAUUGAAACCCUCAGUGACAGAACACGGGCAGAAAGAGCACUGGAAUUCUGGUUUUUGCUUUUGAUUCCAACUUACUCUGCCUUUUGCCUUAAAGUCUAUGAGUCUGAUAUUAUUAA
Choloepus didactylus (southern two-toed sloth) is the source of this 542-nucleotide long non-coding RNA. RefSeq lists it as uncharacterized. The record is from RefSeq and is a predicted model, not a curated record. Lineage: Eukaryota; Metazoa; Chordata; Mammalia; Pilosa; Megalonychidae. The transcript has 3 exons.